RNAcentral lists this long non-coding RNA (687 nucleotides) under Homo sapiens (human). RNAcentral describes it as "HSALNT0009113". Lineage: Eukaryota; Metazoa; Chordata; Mammalia; Primates; Hominidae. The record is from RNAcentral.
CUCUUUUCUUUUUUUUGAGACAGAGUCUCACUCUGUCACCCAGGCUGUGAGCCUAGAUUGCGCCACUGCACUCCAGUCUGGGCGACAGAGCGAGACUCCGUCUCAAAAAAAAAAAAAAAAAAAAAAAAAAAGAGAUUUGAUCUUAUGCUCUUCAAUUCAGCACCAGAAUUCAGCUUUUAUGUAUUGUUUCUCACAUCCCCAUACAAAUGAUUACUGUAGUCUUAAACAUUCCUCUGUGCAUUUGCUCUCAUUUUUCUUGCUUGAAAUACCCUAUUAUCUCUUAAAUUUUACCUAAUCUUUGACGUUAGAUGCAACCACAUUAAAACACAAGGAUACCAUGGAUUUGAAAAGAUGCAGUUAGCAAUUGACUCCUCUCCUCAAUCAAGCCACCAUACUAAUUUCAUUAAUUUUAAAACAAUCCCUUAUUUUAUGUAAACAAAUUGUUGGACACCAUUUAUUAGCAUUGCAGCAGGAUUUUAUGUUAUUAUCUUUUGAAAAACCUUUCUACCACUUUUACCAGUUGCUUUGUGCUAAUUUAUAAGCUUGUCUGAGUUUAAAGGAGCUGUAAGCCUAGGCAUGGUGUCUCAUGCUUGUAAUCCCAGCACUUUAGGAGACCACGGCAGGAGGAUUGCUUGAGGCCACGAGUUCAAGACCAGCCUGGCAUCAUAGUGAGACCCUGUCUCUGUG